AUACUUGUUCCUGUUAACGAGAGGGCUGGUCUAUCUUGCUUUAGUUGCUAGGCGUGUAGGGGCGGAGAAUCUAAAAGAGGGCGAGUAACGUCUCGAUGUCGACUUUCUUUCUUUAUAAUCAAAUAAGAAAAAUAGGAUUCCACACGGAGCUUUCUGGUUCCCUUGCCUAGCCAGGAGAGUCUCCUUGAGUGCUCGUUUCCAGAGUCAACCUGUGUGCGUCUGUUCUGGCAAAGGGGAAGAAGGAGAAGAUUGCACUUUCCCUGACGCGAGCUACUUUCCCGUUCCCGGGGUGGAAACCACUUGACUUUCUACAACACCCCCGCUUGAUGGUUCCCUUGUGCUAACGAGAGUGACUGUUUUCAUCAGCUUACGGAGCUGCACCGGUAAGUAUCUAAUUAUGUAUAGAAGCGGGUGACUCUGCAAGUGUAUAGUGUAUUCGGGGUGAACUCAACUCUACCUCUGUGCUAUAUGAGUAGGUGUGUAGCUUUCCUCUGUGCUUUAGUGCAAUGUAUAGAUGUAAGUGAACCUAUAAUGUAAUAGAAUGUAUGUAAGUAAUGUCAUAGAAUGGAUGUAAGUAAACCUAUAAUGUAAUAGAAUGUAUGUAAGUGAACCGUAAAAACGGUUCUAUCCCGAAACAACGGAUCGCAGAUCCCAUCCCAAACUAAAAAGGGACUCUGUCUACCGAACAAGGAUCUUCCCAUCCUUCCACCAAAGCCACAAAACCUCCUGUAUCACCAUCUACACCCAAAGAGGGAUAAGCCUAUUCUAAGGGAAGAUAAAGCCCUACAGAAAAGAGAUCUAAAGCACCCCAGAGAAAUAGAUCCCUACCUGGUAAAGAUAUACUCAAUAGAUGGACCACUCUUUGCGGGAAGAGAGAGGAACCAUGGAUAGACGACUCUUUCCGGGAAGAGAGAGGACAUGGAAUAGCCAUUGGAUUCGAUCCGAUAGACCCUUCGUAUGGAUACUCCUAUCAAGACGCACUUUUAGGCCAUUUUCUUAGCGGAGGCAAACAAAGUCAAGUACUCAAGGGAGAAGCAAGCGAAAUCAAUUCCGUAAUAACCUUAAGGGGCCAGCUAGCUAUAAAUCUCCUAAGAAAACCCAUCCAUAAAGAAAGGAAAGGCCAAGGCGGGUACAUGGACUUACUAGAAAUCUUACCCGAGGAACUGCAAGAGGCUCGCAAGCAUUAGGAUAAGAAAGGAGAACCAAGGCAAGCACAUGGCCUGCAAGUUCGCUUGGAAGGAUAUUGUUCUCAGUGAUAGCAAGAGCCCUUGAAGUCUUUGAGUCUUCUAUUUAUUCACUAUUUACCUACUUCUAUUAUUAUCUACAGGUANNNNNNNNNNNNNNNNNNNNGCUUUCUUUGGAAGAGGGGAACUCUCAAGAGAAAGACAGACAGAAACAGUAAAGGCUUGCGCAAUUGGAGGUGCAGACUUUAGCACUAUUUCUCGCUCGAAGGAUAACUCAAGGCUCAAAAGAAAUACAGGCGCAGAAAGAUUAGAUGCCUUUAGGAAUGCUACCUUUAAGACUCAAACUAGAUCGAAUGGAGAAGGGCUGGAGUGAAAGCGAAAUCCAAGACAUGACAGCGGAAUAACAACUCUAAACAGUCGAAGUAAGUAGGUCAAUGCCAAUGAUAAAGACGCCUAGAAAAGUCCUAAGGAAAGCAAAUAACAUAGAAAAUCAGAGGUGUUGUAGCAGUUAAGUAUCCAGGUGUUAACGACGAAACGGAAUAUGAAUUAGAGUUUCCCCUGGUUGUAGAGAAUUGCCGGAUAGUACCGCUCGCUAUUCCCUGUCAUAGAGUUCCAUUUCUUGAUCUUUGAUGGUUCCGUUGCUUGUCGACUUGUUUAAUUGAAAAAGUAGGAAUGGAGUUUAAGACUGACUAACGCGAAAGGGCUCUGGUCUCUGGGAAUGAGGGCGGUGCGAGUGAAGUUGUAUCAAUUGGGCGUUUGUAAGCUGCAAUGAUGGUUGUCUUUGAAAUUCCUACCUGUAAUGCUCUUAAGUCCCUAGGUGUUAUAUAACAUCAGCGAUGAAAUCAAUCUUGGACUGAAGACUCCACUGUUACUGUCUUUACUGCUAGGUACGGGAACUAGAUGUGAUUCCCUCUAAGUAAAUCUGUUAUUGGCACUUUAUUGACCCUUAUUGUCCACUAGGUCUGAAG
Molecule: long non-coding RNA, 2152 nt
Filed under: Musa acuminata (dwarf banana)
Lineage: Eukaryota; Viridiplantae; Streptophyta; Magnoliopsida; Zingiberales; Musaceae
Description: long non-coding RNA (MACU_LNC008312)
Source: RNAcentral